RNAcentral lists this ribosomal RNA (1346 nucleotides) under uncultured bacterium. RNAcentral's name for it is "partial 16S ribosomal RNA". It matches the Rfam family "Bacterial small subunit ribosomal RNA", at positions 28 to 1381 of the family's 1533-position model. The record is from RNAcentral.
GACGAACGCUGGCGGCGUGCUUAACACAUGCAAGUCGAACGGAAAGGCCCUGCUUUUGUGGGGUGCUCGAGUGGCGAACGGGUGAGUAACACGUGAGUAACCUGCCCUUGACUUUGGGAUAACUUCAGGAAACUGGGGCUAAUACCGGAUAGGAGCUCCUGCUGCAUGGUGGGGGUUGGAAAGUUUCGGCGGUUGGGGAUGGACUCGCGGCUUAUCAGCUUGUUGGUGGGGUAGUGGCUUACCAAGGCUUUGACGGGUAGCCGGCCUGAGAGGGUGACCGGCCACAUUGGGACUGAGAUACGGCCCAGACUCCUACGGGAGGCAGCAGUGGGGAAUAUUGCACAAUGGGCGGAAGCCUGAUGCAGCAACGCCGCGUGCGGGAUGACGGCCUUCGGGUUGUAAACCGCUUUCGCCUGUGACGAAGCGUGAGUGACGGUAAUGGGUAAAGAAGCACCGGCUAACUACGUGCCAGCAGCCGCGGUGAUACGUAGGGUGCGAGCGUUGUCCGGAUUUAUUGGGCGUAAAGGGCUCGUAGGUGGUUGAUCGCGUCGGAAGUGUAAUCUUGGGGCUUAACCCUGAGCGUGCUUUCGAUACGGGUUGACUUGAGGAAGGUAGGGGAGAAUGGAAUUCCUGGUGGAGCGGUGGAAUGCGCAGAUAUCAGGAGGAACACCAGUGGCGAAGGCGGUUCUCUGGGCCUUUCCUGACGCUGAGGAGCGAAAGCGUGGGGAGCGAACAGGCUUAGAUACCCUGGUAGUCCACGCUGUAAACGGUGGGUACUAGGUGUGGGGUCCAUUCCACGGGUUCCGUGCCGUAGCUAACGCUUUAAGUACCCCGCCUGGGGAGUACGGCCGCAAGGCUAAAACUCAAAGGAAUUGACGGGGCCCCGCACAAGCGGCGGAGCAUGCGGAUUAAUUCGAUGCAACGCGUAGAACCUUACCUGGGUUUGACAUGGAUCGGGAGUGCUCAGAGAUGGGUGUGCCUCUUUUGGGGUCGGUUCACAGGUGGUGCAUGGCUGUCGUCAGCUCGUGUCGUGAGAUGUUGGGUUAAGUCCCGCAACGAGCGCAACCCUUGUUCACUGUUGCCAGCACGUUAUGGUGGGGACUCAGUGGAGACCGCCGGGGUCAACUCGGAGGAAGGUGGGGAUGACGUCAAGUCAUCAUGCCCCUUAUGUCCAGGGCUUCACGCAUGCUACAAUGGCUGGUACAGAGAGUGGCGAGCCUGUGAGGGUGAGCGAAUCUCGGAAAGCCGGUCUCAGUUCGGAUUGGGGUCUGCAACUCGACCUCGUGAAGUCGGAGUCGCUAGUAAUCGCAGAUCAGCAACGCUGCGGUGAAUACAUUCCCGGGGCU